UGAGGAAUAUUGGUCAAUGGGCGGGAGCCUGAACCAGCCAAGCCGCGUGAGGGAGGAAGGCCCUAUGGGUCGUAAACCUCUUUUGUCAGGGAACAAAAGCGAGUAUGUAUACUAGUCUGAGUGUACCUGAAGAAAAAGCAUCGGCUAACUCCGUGCCAGCAGCCGCGGUAAUACGGAGGAUGCGAGCGUUAUCCGGAUUUAUUGGGUUUAAAGGGUGCGUAGGCGGCGGUGCAAGUCAGCGGUAAAAGCCCGGGGCUCAACCCCGGCGAGCCGUUGAAACUGCAGUGCUAGAGAAGGCGAGAGGUACGCGGAAUGCGCAGUGUAGCGGUGAAAUGCUUAGAUAUUGCGCAGAACUCCGAUUGCGAAGGCAGCGUACUGGCGCCUGACUGACGCUGAGGCACGAAAGCGUGGGUAUCAAACAGGAUUAGAUACC
This 433-nucleotide ribosomal RNA is filed under the name uncultured bacterium. RNAcentral describes it as "bacterial SSU rRNA". It matches the Rfam family "Bacterial small subunit ribosomal RNA", at positions 355 to 786 of the family's 1533-position model. The record is from RNAcentral.